UACGUAGGGUGCGAGCGUUGUCCGGAAUUAUUGGGCGUAAAGGGCUCGUAGGCGGUUUGUCGCGUCGGGAGUGAAAACGCCGUGCUUAACACGGCGCUUGCUUUCGAUACGGGCAGACUAGAGGUAUGCAGGGGAGAACGGAAUUCCUGGUGUAGCGGUGUAAUGCGUAGAUAUCAGGAGGAACACCGGUGGCGAAGGCGGUUCUCUGGGCUUUACCUGACGCUGAGGAGCGAAAGUGUGGGGAGCGGUCAGG
Molecule: ribosomal RNA, 253 nt
Filed under: uncultured bacterium
Lineage: Bacteria
Description: partial 16S ribosomal RNA
Rfam family: Bacterial small subunit ribosomal RNA
Source: RNAcentral